Molecule: ribosomal RNA, 253 nt
Filed under: uncultured bacterium
Lineage: Bacteria
Description: partial 16S ribosomal RNA
Rfam family: Bacterial small subunit ribosomal RNA
Source: RNAcentral
UACAGAGGGUGCAAGCGUUAAUCGGAAUUACUGGGUGUAAAGCGGGCGUAGACGGUGAUGUAAGGCGGGUGUGAAAGCCCCGGGCUCAACCUGGGAAUGCCAUUCGAGACUGCAUAGCUAGGGUGCGGAAGAGGGAAGCGGAAUUUCAGGUGUAGCGGUGAAAUGCGUAGAUAUCUGAAGGAACACCAGUGGCGAAAGCGGCUUCCUGGUCCAGCACCGACGUUCAGGCACGAAAGCGUGGGGAGCAAACAGG